UCUGGCCUCAAAUCAGGUAGGACUACCCGCUGAACU
RNAcentral lists this ribosomal RNA (36 nucleotides) under Itersonilia perplexans. Its description in RNAcentral is "partial 26S rRNA". RNAcentral also lists the same sequence under 1 other name. The record is from RNAcentral. Lineage: Eukaryota; Fungi; Basidiomycota; Tremellomycetes; Cystofilobasidiales; Mrakiaceae.